ACCUUGUUGAGCUCGGUGUACACCUGGUGGAUCUCCUCGGGCUUGGAGUAGAGGUCCUCCUGGGCGACGUCGGUGUUGUCGACGCCAUCCUCCUCGCCGCCGGUGAUGCCGAUCUCAACCUCGAGGAAGCAGUUGAUCUUCGCCAUGCGCUCGAGGUACUUCUUGGAGAUCUCCAUGUUCUCCUCGAUGGACUCCUCGGAGAGGUCGAGCAUGUGGGAGGUGAAGAGGGGCUCGCCGUGCUUGGCGAAGUACUCCUCGUUGGCCUCGAGGAGGCCGUCGAACCAGGGGAGGAGGCUCUUGGCACAGUGGUCGGUGUGGAGGAUGAUGGGGACGCCGUAGAACUCAGCGAGGGCGCGGACGUGGAGGGCACCGGCGACGCAGCCCAUGAUGGCCGCCUUCUGGUCCUUCUCGUUCUUCCAGCCCUUGCCGGCGUUGUAG
RNAcentral lists this long non-coding RNA (438 nucleotides) under Micromonas commoda. Its description in RNAcentral is "long non-coding RNA (MCOM_LNC000299)". The record is from RNAcentral. Lineage: Eukaryota; Viridiplantae; Chlorophyta; Mamiellophyceae; Mamiellales; Mamiellaceae.